This 1160-nucleotide long non-coding RNA is filed under the name Amphibalanus amphitrite. RNAcentral's name for it is "uncharacterized LOC122389827". The record is from RNAcentral. Lineage: Eukaryota; Metazoa; Arthropoda; Thecostraca; Balanomorpha; Balanidae.
GGCAAUCAUGGCGGCCUCCUUGGUCGAGGAGACGUUUGUGAGAGUCGUCGAAGUUGAAAGCUCAAAAAGUGAACUUAAAAUUCAUCAAUCUUACAUUGGUGAUGUGGGAUGUGUGGUUUGGGACGCCGCACUUGUUUUGAGCAAGUACAUCGACUUCGUGCAUUCUGUAGAAUGUGUGAAAACUGAUGAUUGUGAUGGUGGUUUGGUAGCUUAUGCGUCACAAUUGAUCAAAAACAUUCACAGUGCAAGAGCCAUUGAAUUAGGCGCUGGAACUGGAGCUGUUGGACUUCUUGCAGCAUCAUUAGGAUGUCAGACAACACUUACUGACUUGGCCAGUCUCAUGCCACUUCUGACUAAGAAUAUUGAGGAGAACAACCUGCAGGAAAAAGCUUCUGCUGCUGUUUUAGAUUGGGAUGACCAUGCUGACACUUCUCUGCCUCAGCCUGAUCUGCUGCUGGUAGCAGACUGUGUGUACUAUGUAGAGGCGCUUCUGCCGCUUUUGCACACCAUAUCAGCCUUGGCCGGGCCCAAAACUGCAGUGCUGAUUAGCUAUGAAGAUAGAGAGUCUGAGGUGAAGCAAGUGCUGCAAAAGAAGUUCUCGGAGGUCCUGAGGAAGCAAUUCGAUGUAGAAGAGGUUCCGACACAGAAAAUGCAUCCAGACUAUAUGGCUGAUGAUAUUCAUAUUUUAGUAGCAAGGAAGAAACAGUGAAAAACGCUCUGCUUGUUUGGUGUGUAUGAUUCGUCUUCGGUGGAACUGUUACGGUGAGUAUUUUUACAAUCAGUCUGAGAAUUCACGCUGCAGCAGUUCCGACCCCCAAUUUCACCGGAGCAUGAUCCAAUGCCGACAGAACAAUAUCGCUCCCGAUAUCUGACCGGUCCAUAGAGAUCACGGUCGUCCAGGUUCUCAGUGCGUGGUUAACCCCUCCCCUCCUCACCCCUACCCCACUCCAGUACCACCAUCAUCGCUAGGAACAGAACGUGUGGCGACACCGUAGAACGCCAACUGCGAGCGGGUCGGUUUCGUCAUGCAUUGACCUCUGCCUUUUCAUACAAUUUUAGAAACUUUGGGCUUUAGUGGAUCUGUUCAGGAAUCAGCUCCGGAUUAGUUGCUUGUCCGAGACACUUUGUAAAUUGUAUGAAAUAUACUAAAUAUUGUUAAA